Molecule: ribosomal RNA, 776 nt
Filed under: uncultured Peritrichia
Lineage: Eukaryota; Ciliophora; Oligohymenophorea
Description: SSU rRNA
Rfam family: Eukaryotic small subunit ribosomal RNA
Source: RNAcentral
GAUYAGAUACCGUCGUAGUCUUAACUAUAAACUAUACCGACUCGGAAUUGGAUGAAUAUAAUAUAGUUCAUUCAGCGCCGUAAGAGAAAUCAAAGUCUUUGGGUUCUUGGUGGAGUACGAUCGCAAGAUUGAAACUUAAAGGAAUUGACGGUUUUGCACCACCAUGGAGUGGAGCCUGCGGCUUAAUUUGACUCAACACUGGAAAACUCAUCAGGACAAAAAGAUUUUAGGAUUGACAGAUUGAGAGUUCUUUCUUGAUUAAUCUAAUGGUGGUGCAUGGCCGUUCUUAGUUGGUGGAGUGAUUUGUCUGGUUAAUUCCGUUAACGAACGAGACCUUAACCUACUAACUAGUGCUCCGUAACAAACGGGUGUCACUUCUUAGAGGGACAAUGUGUUGUAAACACAUGGAAGUUUAAGGCAAUAACAGGUCUGUGAUGCCCUUAGAUGUCCUGAGCCGCACGCGCGCUACACUGACACUUUCAGCAAGUAUUUACUGGUCCGACAGGAUUCUGGUUAAUCUUUUUAGUAAGUGUCGUGAUAGGGAUAGAUCUUUGCAAUUAUGGAUCUUGAACGAGGAAUUCCUAGUAAGCACAAGUCAUCAACUUGUGCUGAUUACGUCCCUGCAAAAUGUACACAUCGCCCGUCGCUUGCUCCGAUUGAGUAAUCUGGUGAGCCUUCUUGACUGAUUGCAAAAUUAGAAAAUUAAGCAAACCAUAUUACUUAGAGGAUGAAGAAGUCGUAACAAAGUUUCCGUAGGUGAACCUGCAGAAGGAUCA